Molecule: ribosomal RNA, 465 nt
Filed under: Vreelandella stevensii
Lineage: Bacteria; Pseudomonadati; Pseudomonadota; Gammaproteobacteria; Oceanospirillales; Halomonadaceae
Description: partial 16S ribosomal RNA
Rfam family: Bacterial small subunit ribosomal RNA
Source: RNAcentral
CCUACGGGGUGCAGCAGUGGGGAAUAUUGGACAAUGGGCGAAAGCCUGAUCCAGCCAUGCCGCGUGUGUGAAGAAGGCCUUCGGGUUGUAAAGCACUUUCAGUGGGGAAGAAAGCCUUGGGGCUAAUACCCUCGAGGAAGGACAUCACCCACAGAAGAAGCACCGGCUAACUCCGUGCCAGCAGCCGCGGUAAUACGGAGGGGUGCGAGCGUUAAUCGGAAUUACUGGGCGUAAAGCGCGCGUAGGCGGUCUGAUAAGCCGGUUGUGAAAGCCCCGGGCUCAACCUGGGAACGGCAUCCGGAACUGUCAGGCUAGAGUGCAGGAGAGGAAGGUAGAAUUCCCGGUGUAGCGGUGAAAUGCGUAGAGAUCGGGAGGAAUACCAGUGGCGAAGGCGGCCUUCUGGACUGACACUGACGCUGAGGUGCGAAAGCGUGGGUAGCAAACAGGAUUAGAUACCUGGUAGUC